GAUGAACGCUGGCGGCGUGCCUAAUACAUGCAAGUCGAGCGAACAGACGAGGAGCUUGCUCCUCUGACGUUAGCGGCGGACGGGUGAGUAACACGUGGAUAACCUACCUAUAAGACUGGGAUAACUUCGGGAAACCGGAGCUAAUACCGGAUAAUAUAUUGAACCGCAUGGUUCAAUAGUGAAAGACGGUUUUGCUGUCACUUAUAGAUGGAUCCGCGCCGCAUUAGCUAGUUGGUAAGGUAACGGCUUACCAAGGCAACGAGGCGUAGCCGACCUGAGAGGGUGAUCGGCCACACUGGAACUGAGACACGGUCCAGACGCCUGCGGGAGGCAGCAGUAGGGAAUCUUCCGCAAUGGGCGAAAGCUUGACGGAGCAGCGCCGCGUGAGUGAUGAAGGUCUUCGGAUCGUAAAACUCUGUUAUUAGGGAAGAACAAAUGUGUAAGGAACUAUGCACGUCUUGACGGUACCUAAUCAGAAAGCAACGGCUAACUACGUG
Molecule: ribosomal RNA, 497 nt
Filed under: uncultured bacterium
Lineage: Bacteria
Description: partial 16S ribosomal RNA
Rfam family: Bacterial small subunit ribosomal RNA
Source: RNAcentral